This 561-nucleotide ribosomal RNA is filed under the name uncultured Methanomicrobiales archaeon. Its description in RNAcentral is "bacterial SSU rRNA". It matches the Rfam family "Archaeal small subunit ribosomal RNA", at positions 339 to 903 of the family's 1478-position model. Lineage: Archaea; Methanobacteriati; Methanobacteriota; Methanomicrobia; Methanomicrobiales. The record is from RNAcentral.
GCGCGAAAACUUUACAAUGCGGGCAACCGUGAUAAGGGAACCUCGAGUGCCUGUAUAUGCAGGCUGUCCAGGUGUCUAAAACACACCUGAAGAAAGGGCCGGGCAAGACCGGUGCCAGCCGCCGCGGUAAUACCGGCGGCUCGAGUGGUGGCCGCUUUUAUUGGGCUUAAAGCGUUCGUAGCUGGGUUGUUAAGUCUCUUGGGAAAUCCGGCGGCUCAACCGUCGGGCGUCUAAGAGAUACUGGCGAUCUUGGAACCGGGAGAGGUGAGGGGUACUUCGGGGGUAGGAGUGAAAUCCUGUAAUCCUCGAGGGACCACCUGUGGCGAAGGCGCCUCACCAGAACGGCUUCGACAGUGAGGGACGAAAGCUGGGGGAGCAAACCGGAUUAGAUACCCGGGUAGUCCCAGUCGUAAACGAUGUGCGUUAGGUGUAUCGACGACCACGAGUCGUCGAGGUGCCGAAGGGAAACCGUGAAACGUACCGCCUGGGAAGUACGGUCGCAAGGCUGAAACUUAAAGGAAUUGGCGGGGGAGCACCGACAACAGGUGGAGCCUGCGGUUU